Molecule: ribosomal RNA, 566 nt
Filed under: fungal endophyte
Lineage: Eukaryota; Fungi
Description: eukaryotic LSU rRNA
Rfam family: 5.8S ribosomal RNA (bases 209-362)
Source: RNAcentral
CUUCCGUAGGGUGAACCUGCGGAAGGAUCAUUACCGAGUGAGGGCCCUCUGGGUCCAACCUCCCACCCGUGUUUAUUCUACCUUGUUGCUUCGGCGGGCCCGCCUCACGGCCGCCGGGGGGCACUCGCCCCCGGGCCCGCGCCCGCCGAAGACACCAAUGAACUCUGUCUGAAGAUUGCAGUCUGAGCAGAUUAGCUAAAUCAGUUAAAACUUUCAACAACGGAUCUCUUGGUUCCGGCAUCGAUGAAGAACGCAGCGAAAUGCGAUAAGUAAUGUGAAUUGCAGAAUUCAGUGAAUCAUCGAGUCUUUGAACGCACAUUGCGCCCCCUGGUAUUCCGGGGGGCAUGCCUGUCCGAGCGUCAUUGCUGCCCUCAAGCACGGCUUGUGUGUUGGGCUUCGCCCCCCGGCUCCCGGGGGGCGGGCCCGAAAGGCAGCGGCGGCACCGCGUCCGGUCCUCGAGCGUAUGGGGCUUCGUCACCCGCUCUGUAGGCCCGGCCGGCGCCCGCCGGCGACCCCAAUCAAUCUUUCCAGGUUGACCUCGGAUUCAGGUAGGAAUACACGAUAUU